Molecule: unclassified non-coding RNA, 329 nt
Filed under: soil metagenome
Description: partial contains 5.8S ribosomal RNA, internal transcribed spacer 2, and large subunit ribosomal RNA
Rfam family: 5.8S ribosomal RNA (bases 1-120)
Source: RNAcentral
GAUGAAGAACGUAGCGAAAUGCGAUAAUUAAUGUGAAUUGCAGAAUUUAGCGAAUCAUCGAAUCUUUGAACGCACAUUGCGCCCCUUGGUAUUCCGGGGGGCAUGCCUGUUCGAGCGUCAUUUCAACCCUCAAGCUCUGCUUGGUCUUGGGCCGCGCCGGCAACGGCGGGCCUCAAAAACAGUGGCGGCGCCAUCUGGUCCCUCAGCGUAGUAAUUCUUCUCGCUGCUGGGCCCCGGUGGCCGCUUGCCAGCAACUCCAAACUUUCUAUGGUUGACCUCGGAUCAGGUAGGGAUACCCGCUGAACUUAAGCAUAUCAAUAAGCGGAGGA